RNAcentral lists this ribosomal RNA (497 nucleotides) under uncultured bacterium. RNAcentral's name for it is "partial 16S ribosomal RNA". It matches the Rfam family "Bacterial small subunit ribosomal RNA", at positions 28 to 507 of the family's 1533-position model. The record is from RNAcentral.
GACGAACGCUGGCGGCGUGCCUAAUACAUGCAAGUUGAGCGCUGAAGGUUGGUACUUGUACCAACUGGAUGAGCAGCGAACGGGUGAGUAACGCGUGGGGAAUCUGCCUUUGAGCGGGGGACAACAUUUGGAAACGAAUGCUAAUACCGCAUAAAAACUUUAAACACAAGUUUUAAGUUUGAAAGAUGCAAUUGCAUCACUCAAAGAUGAUCCCGCGUUGUAUUAGCUAGUUGGUGAGGUAAAGGCUCACCAAGGCGAUGAUACAUAGCCGACCUGAGAGGGUGAUCGGCCACAUUGGGACUGAGACACGGCCCAAACUCCUACGGGAGGCAGCAGUAGGGAAUCUUCGGCAAUGGACGAAAGUCUGACCGAGCAACGCCGCGUGAGUGAAGAAGGUUUUCUGAUCGUAAAACUCUGUUGGUAGAGAAGAACGUUGGUGAGAGUGGAAAGCUCAUCAAGUGACGGUAACUACCCAGAAAGGGACGGCUAACUACGUG